GCUCCCAACAGGCGUUUCCCAUUUGCACGCCCGCUUGCCCGAUGUGAAUGGAUAUGCAUUCCCGCUGCGAACAAACCUGUGAUCUUUUGGUUGGAAGAAAUUCUCUCGCUUUAAGUAUAAACAGCGAUAGACAAAGAAAUAAUAGAAAUAAUAUGAUAAAUCAUUAUCCGAGAGAUUAGCUUAGUGUAAGUUAAGGACAGAGCCCUUCCAUUACGUCGCAUUGAUUGUUAUACUCGCUCCAUCACGCUACGUUCAAGUAUGAUUACCACCUUGGGCAUCGUUAAAAAAUUUACAGCAGUCUUUAUCGCCUUUACGGCUUUGUGAUGACGGUAUAAUAUGAGUGGAUCGUUAAAUGUUGAAUAUUAUGAAAUUAACACUUUAUA
Molecule: long non-coding RNA, 383 nt
Organism: Vollenhovia emeryi
Lineage: Eukaryota; Metazoa; Arthropoda; Insecta; Hymenoptera; Formicidae
Exons: 3
Source: RefSeq, a predicted model, not a curated record